UAAAUUAAACACCUUUCUUACUGGAUUCAAGUUUUAAAGGCUUCUGAUGAUGAUGUCCAACCCUUAGAUACUGAUGAGCAGCAAACAGCAUAAAACCUGAAGAGGCUGCGAGUUACUCGCAGGCUGUUCUGGUUUUAUGCUGUUUGCACAUAGCCAUUGUUACUUUGCUUCUGAGUGGGAAAGGGUUAAAAUAUCACUUGAAAGCAGUUCAUUUGUGAAUUUUUACUUUAUAUACAAAUACACCUAAACCAUUUGGGGCAAACAACUAUUUUUUGGAAGGCAUAUCAUUGAACUGAAAUAAAAACAUACUUCAUAUGAGCUGUGCUUUAGCAAAACCUGUUUUAUGCAUGCGCUUUAAGUAUUGUCCCAGACUUGCCGGUUUAGUUUGCGCAGGCUAAUAAGGGAUGACGCUUAACUCUUGACUGGAAUUUCAGCUUUAAAGGAAGUGGCCUUUAAAUGAAAGUCCAGUCUAGGUGUAAAGUGUCAUCCCUGAUUAGUCUAGGUGUAAAGUGUCAUCCCUGAUUAGUCCAGGUGUAAAGUGUCAUCCCUGAUUAGUCUAGGCGUAAAGUGUCAUCCCUGAUUAGUCUAGGUGUAAAGUGUCAUCCCUGAUUAGUCUAGGUGUAAAGUGUCAUCCCUGAUUAGUCUAUGUGUAAAGUGUCAUCCCUGAUUAGUCUAGGUGUAUAGUGUCAUCCCUGAUUAGUCUAGGUGUAAAGUGUCAUCCCUGAUUAGUCUAGGUGUAAAGUGUCAUCCCUGAUUAGUCUAUGUGUAAAGUGUCAUCCCUGAUUAGUCUAGGUGUAAAGUGUCAUCCCUGAUUAGUCUAGGUGUAAAGUGUCAUCCCUGAUUAGUCUAGGUGUAAAGUGUCAUCCCUGAUUAGUCUUGGUGUAAAGUGUCAUCCCUGAUUAGUCUUGGUGUAAAGUGUCAUCCCUGAUUAGUCUUGGUGUAAAGUGUCAUCCCUGAUUAGUCUUGGUGUAAAGUGUCAUCCCUGAUUAGUCUGUUCAUACUGCUCAGGCUAAUCUUGGACAACACUCCACGCACAUGCAUUUGGCGCGUUUUGCCAACAGUGUUUCUCUCUUGUUAAACCAUC
Dreissena polymorpha is the source of this 1084-nucleotide long non-coding RNA. RefSeq lists it as uncharacterized. The record is from RefSeq and is a predicted model, not a curated record. Lineage: Eukaryota; Metazoa; Mollusca; Bivalvia; Myida; Dreissenidae. The transcript is spliced from 4 exons.